GACGUAGGGCGCGAGCGUUGUCCGGAUUUAUUGGGCGUAAAGAGCUCGUAGGCGGCUUGUCACGUCGAAUGUGAAAACUUGGGGCUCAACUCCAAGCUUGCAUUCGAUACGGGCAGGCUAGGGUUCGGUAGGGGAGACUGGAAUUCCUGGUGUAGCGGUGAAAUGCGCAGAUAUCAGGAGGAACACCGAUGGCGAAGGCGGUCUCUGGGCAACUACUGACGCUGAGGAAGCGAAAAGCGUGGGGAGCGAACAGGAUUAGA
Molecule: ribosomal RNA, 260 nt
Filed under: uncultured bacterium
Lineage: Bacteria
Description: partial 16S ribosomal RNA
Rfam family: Bacterial small subunit ribosomal RNA
Source: RNAcentral